CCCAAGAGAUCGGGAUAACACCUGGAAACAGAUGCUAAUACCGGAUAACAACAGAUGAUGCCUAUCAACUGUUUAAAAGAUGGUUCUGCUAUCACUCUUGGAUGGACCUGCGGUGCAUUAGCUAGUUGGUAGGGUAACUGCCUACCAAGGCGAUGAUGCAUAGCCGAGUUGAGAGACUGAUCGGCCACAUUGGGACUGAGACACGGCCCAAACUCCUACGGGAGGCAGCAGCC
Molecule: ribosomal RNA, 233 nt
Filed under: uncultured Lactobacillus sp.
Lineage: Bacteria; Bacillati; Bacillota; Bacilli; Lactobacillales; Lactobacillaceae
Description: partial 16S ribosomal RNA
Rfam family: Bacterial small subunit ribosomal RNA
Source: RNAcentral